GAUGAACGCUGGCGGCGUGCCUAAUACAUGCAAGUCGAGCGAACAGACGAGGAGCUUGCUCCUUCGACGUUAGCGGCGGACGGGUGAGUAACACGUACGUAACCUACCUAUAAGCCUGGGAUAACUUCGGGCAACCGGAGCUAAUACCGGCUAAUAUUUCGAACCGCAUGGUUCGAUAGUGAAAGAUGACUUUGCUAUCACUUAUCGAUGGACCUGCGACGUAUUAGGUAGUUGGCAAGGCAACGGCUUACCAAGGCAACGAUACGUAUCCGACCAGAGAGGGGGAUGGAGCACACUGGAACUGGGACACGGUCAAUACUCCUAAGGAAGGCAGCGGAACGGAAGCUUCGGCAAGGGGCGAAAGCCUUACGGAGGAUGGCGGAGUAGGACGUGAAGGUCUACGGAUCGUGAAACUCGUUUAUUAGGGAAGAAGAAACGUGUAAGUAACUGAUCACGUCGUGACGGUACCGAAGCAGAAAGCCACGGCUAACUACGUG
This 497-nucleotide ribosomal RNA is filed under the name uncultured bacterium. RNAcentral describes it as "partial 16S ribosomal RNA". It matches the Rfam family "Bacterial small subunit ribosomal RNA", at positions 28 to 507 of the family's 1533-position model. The record is from RNAcentral.